AUAUUAUCAAGAGUGAUGGAGGGACUGGCCCUAUGAAAUCCGGCAACCAUUCGAUGGUGCUAAAUCCUGCGGCAUGUCCCGAGAGAUAACAA
Molecule: non-coding RNA, 92 nt
Organism: Veillonella sp. CAG:933
Lineage: Bacteria; Bacillati; Bacillota; Negativicutes; Veillonellales; Veillonellaceae
Source: Rfam